This 2528-nucleotide ribosomal RNA is filed under the name Escherichia coli. RNAcentral's name for it is "partial 23S ribosomal RNA". It matches the Rfam family "Bacterial large subunit ribosomal RNA", at positions 419 to 2925 of the family's 2925-position model. Lineage: Bacteria; Pseudomonadati; Pseudomonadota; Gammaproteobacteria; Enterobacterales; Enterobacteriaceae. The record is from RNAcentral.
GGGACACGUGGUAUCCUGUCUGAAUAUGGGGGGACCAUCCUCCAAGGCUAAAUACUCCUGACUGACCGAUAGUGAACCAGUACCGUGAGGGAAAGGCGAAAAGAACCCCGGCGAGGGGAGUGAAAAAGAACCUGAAACCGUGUACGUACAAGCAGUGGGAGCCUCUUUUAUGGGGUGACUGCGUACCUUUUGUAUAAUGGGUCAGCGACUUAUAUUCUGUAGCAAGGUUAACCGAAUAGGGGAGCCGAAGGGAAACCGAGUCUUAACUGGGCGUUAAGUUGCAGGGUAUAGACCCGAAACCCGGUGAUCUAGCCAUGGGCAGGUUGAAGGUUGGGUAACACUAACUGGAGGACCGAACCGACUAAUGUUGAAAAAUUAGCGGAUGACUUGUGGCUGGGGGUGAAAGGCCAAUCAAACCGGGAGAUAGCUGGUUCUCCCCGAAAGCUAUUUAGGUAGCGCCUCGUGAAUUCAUCUCCGGGGGUAGAGCACUGUUUCGGCAAGGGGGUCAUCCCGACUUACCAACCCGAUGCAAACUGCGAAUACCGGAGAAUGUUAUCACGGGAGACACACGGCGGGUGCUAACGUCCGUCGUGAAGAGGGAAACAACCCAGACCGCCAGCUAAGGUCCCAAAGUCAUGGUUAAGUGGGAAACGAUGUGGGAAGGCCCAGACAGCCAGGAUGUUGGCUUAGAAGCAGCCAUCAUUUAAAGAAAGCGUAAUAGCUCACUGGUCGAGUCGGCCUGCGCGGAAGAUGUAACGGGGCUAAACCAUGCACCGAAGCUGCGGCAGCGACACUUAGGUGUUGUUGGGUAGGGGAGCGUUCUGUAAGCCUGUGAAGGUGUGCUGUGAGGCAUGCUGGAGGUAUCAGAAGUGCGAAUGCUGACAUAAGUAACGAUAAAGCGGGUGAAAAGCCCGCUCGCCGGAAGACCAAGGGUUCCUGUCCAACGUUAAUCGGGGCAGGGUGAGUCGACCCCUAAGGCGAGGCCGAAAGGCGUAGUCGAUGGGAAACAGGUUAAUAUUCCUGUACUUGGUGUUACUGCGAAGGGGGGACGGAGAAGGCUAUGUUGGCCGGGCGACGGUUGUCCCGGUUUAAGCGUGUAGGCUGGUUUUCCAGGCAAAUCCGGAAAAUCAAGGCUGAGGCGUGAUGACGAGGCACUACGGUGCUGAAGCAACAAAUGCCCUGCUUCCAGGAAAAGCCUCUAAGCAUCAGGUAACAUCAAAUCGUACCCCAAACCGACACAGGUGGUCAGGUAGAGAAUACCAAGGCGCUUGAGAGAACUCGGGUGAAGGAACUAGGCAAAAUGGUGCCGUAACUUCGGGAGAAGGCACGCUGAUAUGUAGGUGAAGUCCCUCGCGGAUGGAGCUGAAAUCAGUCGAAGAUACCAGCUGGCUGCAACUGUUUAUUAAAAACACAGCACUGUGCAAACACGAAAGUGGACGUAUACGGUGUGACGCCUGCCCGGUGCCGGAAGGUUAAUUGAUGGGGUUAGCGGUAACGCGAAGCUCUUGAUCGAAGCCCCGGUAAACGGCGGCCGUAACUAUAACGGUCCUAAGGUAGCGAAAUUCCUUGUCGGGUAAGUUCCGACCUGCACGAAUGGCGUAAUGAUGGCCAGGCUGUCUCCACCCGAGACUCAGUGAAAUUGAACUCGCUGUGAAGAUGCAGUGUACCCGCGGCAAGACGGAAAGACCCCGUGAACCUUUACUAUAGCUUGACACUGAACAUUGAGCCUUGAUGUGUAGGAUAGGUGGGAGGCUUAGAAGUGUGGACGCCAGUCUGCAUGGAGCCGACCUUGAAAUACCACCCUUUAAUGUUUGAUGUUCUAACGUGGACCCGUAAUCCGGGUUGCGGACAGUGUCUGGUGGGUAGUUUGACUGGGGCGGUCUCCUCCUAAAGAGUAACGGAGGAGCACGAAGGUUGGCUAAUCCUGGUCGGACAUCAGGAGGUUAGUGCAAUGGCAUAAGCCAGCUUGACUGCGAGCGUGACGGCGCGAGCAGGUGCGAAAGCAGGUCAUAGUGAUCCGGUGGUUCUGAAUGGAAGGGCCAUCGCUCAACGGAUAAAAGGUACUCCGGGGAUAACAGGCUGAUACCGCCCAAGAGUUCAUAUCGACGGCGGUGUUUGGCACCUCGAUGUCGGCUCAUCACAUCCUGGGGCUGAAGUAGGUCCCAAGGGUAUGGCUGUUCGCCAUUUAAAGUGGUACGCGAGCUGGGUUUAGAACGUCGUGAGACAGUUCGGUCCCUAUCUGCCGUGGGCGCUGGAGAACUGAGGGGGGCUGCUCCUAGUACGAGAGGACCGGAGUGGACGCAUCACUGGUGUUCGGGUUGUCAUGCCAAUGGCACUGCCCGGUAGCUAAAUGCGGAAGAGAUAAGUGCUGAAAGCAUCUAAGCACGAAACUUGCCCCGAGAUGAGUUCUCCCUGACUCCUUGAGAGUCCUGAAGGAACGUUGAAGACGACGACGUUGAUAGGCCGGGUGUGUAAGCGCAGCGAUGCGUUGAGCUAACCGGUACUAAUGAACCGUGAGGCUUAACCUU